Molecule: long non-coding RNA, 863 nt
Filed under: Androctonus crassicauda
Lineage: Eukaryota; Metazoa; Arthropoda; Arachnida; Scorpiones; Buthidae
Source: RNAcentral
AAUUAAUUAAAUUAAUUAAACUGCGCAUGCGGUGCGAGCCGAUUAGAUCGGCAGCUGGCAGUUCUUCAGUUAAUAAAAUGCAUAACAAAUUCAUCAAAACAAUACUGACAAUGAAAAAAAAAGCUUACAAAAAAUAUAGCGUCAUAUUUCAAUUAUUCUGGAAUGACAAACCAAAGAUAGCUAAUGCAAAAAAAUCUAGGAUUUAUCAGAUCUAUCUAAUAAACAAUAUUUUGAAUCAAAAUGAACUUUAUAUUGGGUGCAUAUCCAGAGAUCUAAAUAUCUAGCUAACUGAGUGCCAAACCAAUCUAAAAAACUACCACCAACCUCAAUUUUUCUCCCUAGAACACAAUAUUUUUGUCAAAAUGCUCAUAUAAUUCAGAAUUCUACUAUAGAGAUUUCCUUCCAAGCUGCAGAAAUCACUUAUAACAGUGGUUCCCAGACUGUGCAUCAUGAUACCCUAGGGUGCUGCAGAAUCCUUUCAUUUCUUCAUAAGCCUAUAAGAAAAAGUAUUAUAAUGGGGAGCUGCAGCUGAUAGCCAGUAAGUCAAGAGAGCCAUGAGUCAAAAAAGUUUUAAAUCAUAUAUCAUUAGGCAAUCAAAAAAUAGCAUGUUAUUAACAAGUGAGACCUUAAUAACAUCAAGUCUGGUUAUGAUGCAUCAGUUAGUAUAUCUCAUCUUGCACUGGACAUCUGUUGUGAAUAUAUAUAUAUAGAGGUCCUCAAUAUACAUCGUAAUUAUGUUUCUAAAAAGCAUGACUUAUAUCAAGACAACUUUUAUCAAAUCUUGACUUCCCAUUGAAUUAAUGUAUUAUUUGGACUUGUGUUCCAGAUUAACUAAAAAAAUUCAAAUUUAUAUUGAAAUAUAG